GACGAACGCUGGCGGCGUGCUUAACACAUGUAAGUCGAACGGAAAGGCCCUGCUUUUGUGGGGUGCUCGAGUGGCGAACGGGUGAGUAACACGUGAGUAACCUGCCCUUGACUUUGGGAUAACUUCAGGAAACUGGGGCUAAUACCGGAUAGGAGCUCCUGCUGCAUGGUGGGGGUUGGAAAGUUUCGGCGGUUGGGGAUGGACUCGCGGCUUAUCAGCUUGUUGGUGGGGUAGUGGCUUACCAAGGCUUUGACGGGUAGCCGGCCUGAGAGGGUGACCGGCCACAUUGGGACUGAGAGACGGCCCAGACUCCUACGGGAGGCAGCAGUGGGGAAUAUUGCACAAUGGGCGGAAGCCUGAUGCAGCAACGCCGCGUGCGGGAUGACGGCCUUCGGGUUGUAAACCGCUUUCGCCUGUGACGAAGCGUGAGUGACGGUAAUGGGUAAAGAAGCACCGGCUAACUACGUG
RNAcentral lists this ribosomal RNA (468 nucleotides) under uncultured bacterium. Its description in RNAcentral is "partial 16S ribosomal RNA". It matches the Rfam family "Bacterial small subunit ribosomal RNA", at positions 28 to 507 of the family's 1533-position model. The record is from RNAcentral.